This 99-nucleotide ribosomal RNA is filed under the name Echinococcus granulosus. It matches the Rfam family "Eukaryotic small subunit ribosomal RNA", at positions 874 to 971 of the family's 1831-position model. The record is from RNAcentral. Lineage: Eukaryota; Metazoa; Platyhelminthes; Cestoda; Cyclophyllidea; Taeniidae.
AAGAGACAGGCGGGGGCGUUUGUAUGGCUGCGCUAGAGGUGAAAUUCAUGGACCGUAGCCAGACAAACUAAAGCGAAGGCAUUCGUCAAGCAUGUUUUC